This 915-nucleotide ribosomal RNA is filed under the name uncultured marine archaeon. RNAcentral's name for it is "bacterial SSU rRNA". It matches the Rfam family "Archaeal small subunit ribosomal RNA", at positions 1 to 922 of the family's 1478-position model. The record is from RNAcentral.
UUCCGGUUGAUCCUGCCGGAGGCUACCGCUAUUGGAGUUCGAUUAAGCCAUGCGAGUCGCGAGUCUUAGGGACUCGGCGUACCGCUCAGUAACACGUGGGUAACCUGCCCUAUGCAGGGGGAUAACCUCGGGAAACUGAGAAUAAUACCCCAUAGUUCACCACGCCUGGAACGGUGGGUGGAUGAAAGCUCCGGCGGCAUAGGAUGGGCCUGCGGCGUAUCAGGUUGUAGGGGGUGUAAUGUACCCUCUAGCCAUCUACGCGUACGGGUGUUGGGAGACAUCGCCCGGAGAUGGAUUCUGAGACACGAAUCCAGACCCUACGGGGUGCAGCAGGCGCGAAAACUUGGCAAUGCGAGCAAUCGUGACCAGGGAACUCCAAGUGCAUCGGGUAAGACCGAUGCUUUUCUUGACUCUUCAAAGGUCUUGGAAUAAGGGGUGGGUAAGGACGGUGCCAGCCGCCGCGGUAAUACCGGCGCCUCAAGUGGUAGUCGCUUUUAUUGGGCCUAAAACGUCCGUAGCCGGUUUGGUACAUUCGUGGGUAAAUCAAGGCGCUCAACGUCUUGAAUUCUGCGAGCACGGCCAGACUUGGGACCGGGUGAGGUGUGGGGUACUCUCAGGGUAGGGGUAAAAUCCUGUCAUCCUGAGAGGACCACCUGUUGCGAAGGCGCCACACUAGAACGGAUCCGACGGUCAGGGACGAAGCCUAGGGGCACGAACCGGAUUAGAUACCCGGGUAGUCCUAGGUGUAAACGCUGUGGACUUGAUGUUGGGAGUGCUCCGAGCACCCUCAGUGUCGAAGCGAAGGUGAUAAGUCCACUGCCUGGGGAGUACGGUCGCAAGGCUGAAACUUAAAGGAAUUGGCGGGGGAGCACCGCAACCUGAGGAUUGUGCGGUUUAAUUGGAGUCAACGCCGGA